CCUACGGGAGGCAGCAGUAGGGAAUUUUCGGCAAUGGGGGGAACCCUGACCGAGCAACGCCGCGUGAACGAAGAAGUUAUUCGUAAUGUAAAGCUCUUUUAACAGGGAAGAAAAUGACGGUACGUGACUAAGAAGCCCUGGCUAACUACGUGCAAGCAGCCGCGGUAAUACGGAGGGGGCAAGCGUUAUCCGGAUUUACUGGGUGUAAAGGGGGCGCAGACGGCUGUGCAAGUCUGGAGUGAAAGGUGGGGGCCCAACCCCCGGACUGCUGUGGAAACUGUAAAGCUGGAGUGCAGGAGAGGUAAGCGGAAUGCCUAGUGUAGCGGUGAAAUGCGUAGAUAUUAGGAGGAACACCAGUGGCGAAGGCGGCUUACUGAACUGUAACUGACGUUGAGGCUCGAAAGCGUGGGGAGCAAACAGGAUUAGAUACCCGAGUAGUC
Molecule: ribosomal RNA, 440 nt
Filed under: uncultured bacterium
Lineage: Bacteria
Description: partial 16S ribosomal RNA
Rfam family: Bacterial small subunit ribosomal RNA
Source: RNAcentral